CCCACCUUAAGCUCCUACUUUGAUAGAAUCAGAACCUAUUUUGUAUCUCCUAUCACAGGGUGAGGCUGAAACCAACAUCGAGUCUAAAUAACAACAAAAGAACUACAAUAGAGAGAGCAAAGGUAACCAACUAUCAAACCCGAACUGCCGUCCAGUAAGCUUGAUUAAGAACCACACAACGAUCGGGCAUCUGGAAAUGGAAGAGAAUAACGAUAAGCACCGGAAGGUCUAGAUGGAAGAUAAAUUGUAUUAGAAGAAAUACUAUACUAACUCCCUCUGCCACCCUCGAAAAACAUAUCAUGACCAUCAAAGGAUUGAUUGUGUGCAAUAACUGACUAAGAUUAGCCCUACCUUAAGCCCUACUUUGAUAAAAUUAAAACUUAAUUUUUAUCUCAUGUCAUAGGGUGGGGCAGAAAACAAUAUCACGUCUAUGUACAAACAAAAAUUGUUGAAAUGACAAAAGAUAACCAAACAUCAAACCAGAAGUGUCAUCCAGUUAAGAACCACCCCACGAUCAGACAUCUGGAAAUUGAAGAGUAUAUCUAUAAGCACGGGAAACUCUAGGUAGAAGAGAAAAUGUAUAGAAAUAAAAAUACUAUUAUGUACUCCCUUUGCCACCCUCGAUUAACACAAUAUCAAUGACUCAUCAAAGAUCUGUCCGCGUCCAAAAACCAGACCAAGAUAGCCCCCACAUUAAGCUCCUACAGUGAUGGAAUCAAAACCUAUUUUGUAUCUCCUGUCACAGGGUAGGCCCAAAACAAUAUCCAAGUCUAUAUAACAACAAAAGAAUAUAAUAGAGAGAUCAAAUGCAACCAAUUAUGAACCCAGAACUGCCUUCCAGUUAAGCUUGAUUAAGAACCAAACAACGAUCAGGCAUCUGGAAAUCGAAGAGAAUAACAAUAAGCACGGGAAAGUCAAGAUGGAAGAUAAAUUGUAGCAGAAUUAAUACAAUACUAUACUCCCUCUGACACCCUCGAUAAACAUUAUAUCAGUGACAGCAUCAAAAGUUGAUGUCUCCAGUAACUAGACCAAGAUUAGCCCCACCAUAAGCUGCUUCUUUCACAACUUAAUUUUUAACUCCUGUCACAAGGUGAGGCAGAAAACAAUAUCCACGUCUACGUAACAAAUAAAAGAUUGUUGAAACUGACAAAAGAUAACCAAGCAUACCAGAAGUGCCUUCCAGUUAAGAACCACACAACAAUCAGACAUCUGGAAAUUGAAGAGUAUAACUAUUAGCACGGGAAACUCUAGGUAGAAGAGAAAAUGUAGGUAGAAAAAAAAUACUAUUAGUACUCCCUUUACCACCCACUAUUAACACUAUAUCAAUGACAGCAUGAAGGAUUUGUCAGUGUCCAAAAACCAGACCAAGACAGCCCCCACCUUAAGCUCCUACUUGAUAGAAUCAGAACCUAUUUUGUAUCUCCUAUCACAGGGUGAGGCUGAAACCAACAUCCGAGUCUAAAUAACAACAAAAGAACUACAAUAGAGAGAGCAAAGGUAACCAACUAUCAAACCCGAACUGCCGUCCAGUUAAGCUUGAUUAAGAACCACACAACGAUCGGGCAUCUGGAAAUGAAGAGAAUAACGAUAAGCACCGGAAGGUCUAGAUGGAAGAUAAAUUGUAUAGAAGAAAUACUAUACUAUACUCCCUCUGCCACCCUCGAUAAACACACUAUAUAGUGACCACGUCAAAGGAUUGACUUGUGUGCAAUAACUUGACUAAGAUUAGCCCUACCUUAAGCUCCUACUUGAUAAAAUUAAAACUUAAUUUUUAUCUCAUGUCAUAGGGUGGGGCAGAAAACAAUAUCCACGUCUAUGUAGCAAACAAAAUUGUUGAACUGACAAAAGAUAACCAAACAUCAAACAGAAGUGUCUCCAGUUAAGAACCACCCCACGAUCAGACAUCUGGAAAUUGAAGAGUAUAUCUAUAAGCACGGGAAACUCGAGGUAGAAGAGAAAAUGUAGUAGAAUAAAAAUACUAUUAUGUACUCCCUUUGCCACCCUCGAUUAACACAAUAUCAAUGACUACAUCAAAGAUCUGUCGCGUCCAAAAACCAGACCAAGAUAGCCCCCACAUUAAGCUCCUACAGUGAUGGAAUCAAAACCUAUUUUGUAUCUCCUGUCACAGGGUAGGCUCAAAACAAUAUCCAAGUCUAUAUAACAACAAAAGAAAUAUAAUAGAGAGAUCAAAUGCAACCAAUUAUGAACCCAGAACUGCCUUCCAGUUAAGCUUGAUUAAGAACCAAACAACGAUCAGGCAUCUGGAAAUCGAAGAGAAUAACAAUAAGCACGGGAAAGUCAAGAUGGAAGAUAAAUUGUAGCAGAAUUAAUACAAUACUAUACUCCCUCUGACACCCUCGAUAAACAUUAUAUCAGUGACAGCAUCAAAAGUUGAUAGUCUCCAUAACUAGACCAAGAUUAGCCCCACCAUAAGUGCUUCUUUCACAACUUAAUUUUUAACCCCUGUCACAAGGUGAGGCAGAAAACAAUAUCCACGUCUACGUAACAAAUAAAAGAUUGUUGAAACUGACAAAAGAUAACCAAGCAUACCAGAAGUGCCUUCCAGUUAAGAACCACACAACAUCAGACAUCUGGAAAUUGAAGAGUAUAUCUAUAGCACGGGAAAUUCUAGGUAGAAGAGAAAAUGUAGUAGAAAAAAAAUACUAUUAUGUACUCCCUUUCCACCCCGAUUAAACAUAUCAAUGACCAUAAGAUUGUCGGUCCAAAAACCAGACCAAGACAGCCCCCACCUUAAGCUCCUACUUUGAUAGAAUCAGAACCUAUUUUGUAUCUCCUAUCACAGGGUGAGGCUGAAACCAACAUCGAGUCUAAAUAACAACAAAAGAACUACAAUAGAGAAAGCAAAGGUAACCAACUAUCAAACCCGAACUGCCGUCCAGUUAAGCUUGAUUAAGAACCACACAACGAUCGGGCAUCUGGAAAUGGAAGAGAAUAACGAUAAGCACCGGAAGGUCUAGAUGGAAGAUAAAUUGUAUUAGAAGAAAUACUAUCUAUACUCCCUCUGCCACCCUCGAUAAACACACUAUAUCAGUGACCACGUCAAAGGAUUGACUUGUGUGCAAUAACUUGACUAAGAUUAGCCCUACUUAAGCUCCUACUUUGAUAAAAUUAAAACUUAAUUUUUAUCUCAUGUCAUAGGGUGGGGCAGAAAACAAUAUCCACGUCUAUGUACAAACAAAAUUGUUGAAAUGACAAAAGAUAACCAAACAUCAAACCAGAAG
This 3242-nucleotide long non-coding RNA is filed under the name Salvia miltiorrhiza (redroot sage). Its description in RNAcentral is "long non-coding RNA (SMIL_LNC005898)". Lineage: Eukaryota; Viridiplantae; Streptophyta; Magnoliopsida; Lamiales; Lamiaceae. The record is from RNAcentral.